Small nucleolar RNA from Anolis sagrei ordinatus, 72 nucleotides. RefSeq annotates it as small nucleolar RNA SNORD18. Lineage: Eukaryota; Metazoa; Chordata; Lepidosauria; Squamata; Anolidae. The record is from RefSeq and is a predicted model, not a curated record.
UAACUAUGAUGAGAUUCCACUUCUAUGGUCCGUGUUUCUGAAUUCUGUGAUCUUAGUGGAAGUUCUGACGUU